This 463-nucleotide long non-coding RNA is filed under the name Pongo abelii (Sumatran orangutan). Its description in RNAcentral is "lincRNA". Lineage: Eukaryota; Metazoa; Chordata; Mammalia; Primates; Hominidae. The record is from RNAcentral.
UAUGGGAGAAUCCCUUGAGCCCAGGAGUUGGAGGCUGCAGUGAGCUAUGAUUGCACCAGUGCACUCCAGCUUGGGUGACAGAGCGAGACCCUGUCUCAAAAAAAAAAAAAGAUGAGGAAAUCGCCCGAGGAUGGAUCCGACUUGUGGUUUCAAUGGAGCCCUCAUUCUCUUCUUCACUUACCCUCUCCAUGAGGAGGAAGCCAGUACACGUCAAGCGUUUCAUUUGUAGCACAGACUCUUCUCCCAAACGUCUUUGCGUUCUGCACUGGUGAGGGCCAGUGGUGCCACACGAAUGGCCCAACUCACCUUGGGAACGUCCUUGGGCGCAUUUCUUUUUGUCUGUAGAAGUAAAAGAGUAGAACUCAAUGCCGAAGUCAGCAAGCUGUUGGAACCUUGGAAACACAGAGGGCAUGAAGGCUGAGUCCUGGGUCCUACAGUCAGAGGCCCACAUUCAAAUCUUGCC